This 249-nucleotide unclassified non-coding RNA is filed under the name uncultured Pleosporales. RNAcentral describes it as "sequence contains 5.8S rRNA gene, ITS2, 28S rRNA gene". The record is from RNAcentral. Lineage: Eukaryota; Fungi; Ascomycota; Dothideomycetes; Pleosporales.
AACGCACAUUGCGCCCUUUGGUAUUCCUUUGGGCACGCCUGUUCGAGCGUCAUUUACCCCCUCAAGCUCAGCUUGGUGAUGGGCGUCUGUCCUGCCUCCCGCGCAUGGACUCGCCUUAAAAGCAUUGGCGGCCGCUACAUUGGCUUCGAGCGCAGCAAAACGCGCCUUCGUCGCAAUGGAUCGGUUCCCAGAAGCCCCCUUUUUAUCAGUUUUGACCUCGGAUCAGGUGAGAAUACCCGCUGAACUUAA